GAUGAACGCUAGCUACAGGCUUAACACGUGCAAGUCGAGGGGAAACGACAUCGAAAGCUUGCUUUUGAUGGGCGUCGACCGGCGCACGGGUGAGUAACGCGUAUCCAACCUGCCCAUCACUUGGGAAUAACCUUGCGAAAGUAAGACUAAUACCCAAUGACAUCCCACGAAGACAUCUGAAUGGGAUUAAAGAUUUAUCGGUGAUGGAUGGGGAUGCGUCUGAUUAGCUUGUUGGCGGGGUAACGGCCCACCAAGGCAACGAUCAGUAGGGGUUCUGAGAGGAAGGUCCCCCACAUUGGAACUGAGACACGGUCCAAACUCCUACGGGAGGCAGCAGUGAGGAAUAUUGGUCAAUGGGCGAGAGCCUUAACCAGCCAAGUAGCGUGCAGGAUGACGGCCCUAUGGGUUGUAAACUGCUUUUAUAAGGGAAUAAAGUGGGUCUCGUGAGACUUUUUGCAUGUACCUUAUGAAUAAGGACCGGCUAAGUCCGUG
Molecule: ribosomal RNA, 492 nt
Filed under: uncultured bacterium
Lineage: Bacteria
Description: partial 16S ribosomal RNA
Rfam family: Bacterial small subunit ribosomal RNA
Source: RNAcentral